AAGUCGUAACAAGGUUUCCGUAGGUGAACCUGCGGAAGGAUCAUUACAUUCAGUAGCUUGCUACUGUUAGGGAGGCCGGUUAGUCUGUAUAGUAUCACUACUGAUGAGCAGCACGGCCUUCUGUCUGUACCCUUGUCUUUUGCGCACUCAUGUUUCCUCGGCUGGGUUCACGCCCGCCGGCUGGACAACUCUAUAACCUUUUUAAUUUUCAAUCAGCGUCUGAAAAACCUAAUAAUUACAACUUUCAACAACGGAUCUCUUGGUUCUG
Molecule: unclassified non-coding RNA, 268 nt
Filed under: fungal sp.
Lineage: Eukaryota; Fungi
Description: partial internal transcribed spacer region
Rfam family: Eukaryotic small subunit ribosomal RNA (bases 1-46)
Source: RNAcentral